Molecule: unclassified non-coding RNA, 260 nt
Filed under: Hevea brasiliensis (rubber tree)
Lineage: Eukaryota; Viridiplantae; Streptophyta; Magnoliopsida; Malpighiales; Euphorbiaceae
Source: RNAcentral
GUUGGAGAGAGAAAGAUGAGUGGUAGUGGUGGUGGAGGCGGAGGCGGCUAACUCGUCUGCCGUGCUCGAGAUGGUGGAUUCACUCGACAAGUUGUGUUUUGGAACGGUCUUAGUGUCGAGCUUUUCAUCUACGUCAGGAGGAGGAGGAGGUUUUCUUGUGGAUCUUCGAUAAAGAUUGGAGUGUUGUCUAUGUUUUCUAGCCAUGAUCACGUGCCAAUGAUUCUUGACAGCAUUAUCAGUUCUACCAGGAAACAAACGAG